UAAAAGGUUUAACUUGAUGAGUGGAAUGACGGAGUAACGCCCUGAAACGCUCACGCUAAUAUGGCUCAUGAAGCAACUCAACUAUCUUAAGAAGUUGUGAUAAGCGAGCUGACAUAUGAUGUACUGUCUGUACAGGUUGAGUAUCAGCGAUAUUCCUCGUCAGAAUAUCAUGCAACACUUCAAAACCGAGGUGGAGGCACACGGAGACAGAGUUAUGGCGGUGUAGAA
RNAcentral lists this non-coding RNA (228 nucleotides) under Lactococcus garvieae. The record is from RNAcentral. Lineage: Bacteria; Bacillati; Bacillota; Bacilli; Lactobacillales; Streptococcaceae.